RNAcentral lists this long non-coding RNA (2080 nucleotides) under Phasianus colchicus (ring-necked pheasant). RNAcentral describes it as "lncRNA (ENSPCLG00000018352.1)". Lineage: Eukaryota; Metazoa; Chordata; Aves; Galliformes; Phasianidae. The record is from RNAcentral.
GAUAUUAUUAAAAAAAAAAAAAUCCUAAAUUUAUUUUUGUAAGAAAAAAAAAUGUGUGUAUAUAUAUAUAUAUAUAUAUAUUUAAAAGGAAAAAAAAAAACAAAAAAAAACAAAACCAACGUAGGCAGAAUCCGAGUUCUAUUUCAUGGAGUAAUAAAGGCUGAAAGGUGUCCAGUGAGAGGAACGAUGCUAAUUAGGUUCUGUGACAGCCCUGAAAAGCCGACCCUUGGGAGUCGUUGCACUUCACCAAACGGAAGCUUGAAUUUUAGGCAGGAAUCGUGGGUUUUGUUUCAUUUUUGUCUAUCGUUCAUUUCUGCCCCCCUUCCCCCCCCCGCCCCCCCCCCUCAACCACCCCCCUUCUUUUUUCUUUUUUGCUUUUUUUUUAAUUUUUAUUAUUAUUAUCCUUUUUUUUUUUUUCUUUUUUUUUUUUUCUGUUGUUGCUUCUUCUUCAAUGUUCCAUAGCCAGUGCUGGGCCAGACGUGCAUCCCCCACUGCCCCCCUUGUUGUGCUGUGGGGCCGGAACCGGAGGCCUGGUGUCACUGGGACCAGUGCUGUGGGCCUGGCACCAUUGGGCCCGGUGCUGUUGGGCCCAGAACCACCAACCCAAUGCCACCAGGCCCGGUAUUUUGGGCCUCGUGCCAUUGGGCCCAGCUCUUAGGCCCGGUGCCACUGGGCCUGGUGCCAUGAACCUCUGGGCCCGGUGCUGUCAGCCCAGUGUCACCAGAGCAGUGCUGUGGGCCCGGUGCCGUAGGCCCAGUAUUUCAGGCCUCUGGGUGCCGCUGGGCCCGGUUCUGUUGGGCCUGGCCCUGUAGGCCCGGUGCUGUAGGCCUCUGGGCCUGGUCCUGUGGGCCCAGCGCUGUUGGAUCCGGUGCUGUAGGCCCAACGCUGCUGAGCCCAGCACUGUGGGUCUGAUCUGGGCCCAGUGCUGUUGUGUUCGGAACCGUUGGCCCGGUACCAGCAGGACCAGCACUGCGGAGCUGGCUCUGUUGGGCCCGGUGCUGCAGGCUCAGUGCUGUUGGGCCUGCGGUGCCAUUGGCCUCUGGGCCUGGUCCUAUGGGCCCGGUGCUGUUGGGCCUGGCACCACUGGGCCUGGUACCAUUGGCCUGGUACCAUUGGGCCUGGUUCCACUGGGCCUGGUUCCUCUGGACCUGGCACCAUUGGCCUGGUUCCAUUGGGCCUGGUUCCAUUGGGCCUGGUUCUUCUGGAUCUGGCACUGUUGGUCUGGUUCCGUUGGGCCUGGUUCCACUGGGCCUGGUUCCACUGGGCCUGGUUCCGUGGGCCUGGCACCACUGGACCUGGCACCACUGGGCCUGGUUCCAUUGGGCCUGGCACCACUGGCCCGGUACCACUGGCCCGGUGCCGUCUGCAUGCUGCAGCCUUUGGCCCAUUGCUGCCCCAGGCCCAGCAGCACGCAGGCCAUGGCGGGGGCUGCCAGCCCUAUCUCUGCCCGAGGGCCACGUCUGGUGCAGCAGAUAACGCCACCCCCCUCCCCCCAACAAACCCAGCGCCCUGCAUGGCGCAGGGUCCCCCCCCUUCAUCCCCCCCCCCGUCCCCACGAUGGCAGCGAGUGCCUUGGCUGGACGUCCCCGCAAAGGGACGGGGACGCAGGGCCGACCCUCUGCUCAGUGCUGGCAUAUGCAAAAACUCGCGCGGACGUGUAAAUAGAGUUACUUGAGGUUCUUGUAAUCGAGUCGUGGUAUCUCUUUUCUAGUUUGUGUCACUGCUCCUCUUUGUCCCCCACCUCUCCUCGGCCCCAAAGGAACAUUGCGACGAAACAAAGCCCCCAACGCCCUCCUCCCCCCCACCCCAAAGGCAAAAAAAGGAGGAAAACAAAACAAAACAAAAAGGAGAAAACGAUAAAAAGCGAAAGGAGCAGAGAGAGGUCGCGUGUAUCUGUGUGCGUGUGUGAGUGUGUGUGAGUGUGAGUGUGUGUGUGUUAGACUCAGGAUGCCCCACGGAUGGACUGACGGACACUACGCCGACCGCGCCGCCGGACGGACGCACCGUUUGCUGGCAACACUUUAGCACAAGUUGGAAGUUUGCACUAAAAUAAUAAUAAUAAAAAAAAAACAGCGGGGCA